AGGACUACAGCUCAAGGGUAGAGCAUCUGCUUUGCAUGCAGAAGGUCCCAGGUUCAAUCCCUGAUGGGGAAUCCUA
Podarcis lilfordi (Lilford's wall lizard) is the source of this 76-nucleotide non-coding RNA. The record is from the annotation of a GenBank genome assembly. NCBI's taxonomy places the organism in Eukaryota, Metazoa, Chordata, Lepidosauria, Squamata, Lacertidae.